RNAcentral lists this ribosomal RNA (439 nucleotides) under uncultured bacterium. Its description in RNAcentral is "bacterial SSU rRNA". It matches the Rfam family "Bacterial small subunit ribosomal RNA", at positions 30 to 475 of the family's 1533-position model. The record is from RNAcentral.
AUUGAACGCUGGCGGCAUGCCUUACACAUGCAAGUCGAACGGUAACAGGUCUUCGGAUGCUGACGAGUGGCGAACGGGUGAGUAAUACAUCGGAACGUGCCCGAUCGUGGGGGAUAACGCAGCGAAAGCUGUGCUAAUACCGCAUACGAUCUACGGAUGAAAGCGGGGGAUCGCAAGACCUCGCGCGGACGGAGCGGCCGAUGGCAGAUUAGGUAGUUGGUGGGAUAAAAGCUUACCAAGCCGACGAUCUGUAGCUGGUCUGAGAGGACGACCAGCCACACUGGGACUGAGACACGGCCCAGACUCCUACGGGAGGCAGCAGUGGGGAAUUUUGGACAAUGGGCGCAAGCCUGAUCCAGCCAUGCCGCGUGCAGGAUGAAGGCCUUGGUUGUAAACGUAGCUUUUGUUACGGUAACGAAAAAGGAACUCUCUCUAAUAC